AAGCGCGCGUAGGUGGUUUGUUAAGUUGGAUGUGAAAUCCCCGGGCUCAACCUGGGAACUGCAUUCAAAACUGACUGACUAGAGUAUGGUAGAGGGUGGUGGAAUUUCCUGUGUAGCGGUGAAAAUGCGUAGAUAUAGGAAGGAACACCAGUGGCGAAGGCGACCACCUGGACUGAUACUGACACUGAGGUGCGAAAGCGUGGGGAGCAAACAGGAUUAGAUACCCGAGU
Molecule: ribosomal RNA, 230 nt
Filed under: uncultured bacterium
Lineage: Bacteria
Description: partial 16S ribosomal RNA
Rfam family: Bacterial small subunit ribosomal RNA
Source: RNAcentral